GACGAACGCUGGCGGCGUGCUUAACACAUGCAAGUCGAACGGAAAGGCCCUGCUUUUGUGGGGUGCUCGAGUGGCGAACGGGUGAGUAACACGUGAGUAACCUGCCCUUGAAUUUGGGAUAACUUCAGGAAACUGGGGCUAAUACCGGAUAGGAGCUCCUGCUGCAUGGUGGGGGUUGGAAAGUUUCGGCGGUUGGGGAUGGACUCGCGGCUUAUCAGCUUGUUGGUGGGGUAGUGGCUUACAACGGCUUUGACGGGUAGCCGGCCUGAGAGGGGGACCGGGCACAUUGGGACUGCGGUACGGCGCAGACUCGUACGGUAGGCAGCAGUGGGGAGUAUUGCACAAUGGGCGGAAGCCUGAUGCAGCAACGCCGCGUGCGGGAUGACGUCUUUCGGGUUGUAAACCGCUUUCGCCUGUGACGAAGCGUGAGUGACGGUAAUGGGUAAAGAAGCACCGGCUAACUACGUG
RNAcentral lists this ribosomal RNA (468 nucleotides) under uncultured bacterium. Its description in RNAcentral is "partial 16S ribosomal RNA". It matches the Rfam family "Bacterial small subunit ribosomal RNA", at positions 28 to 507 of the family's 1533-position model. The record is from RNAcentral.